UACGGAGGGGGCAAGCGUUAUUCGGAAUUAUUGGGCGUAAAGGGCGCGUAGGCGGCUAGAUGUGUCAAAGGUGAAAUCCCUCGGCUCAACUGAGGAACUGCCUUUGAAACUGUCUGGCUUGAGGCCGGGAGAGGGUAGCGGAAUUCCCAGUGUAGCGGUGAAAUGCGUAGAUAUGCGGAGGAACACCGAUGGCGAAGGCGGGUCUCUGGGCCGAUACUGACGCUGAGGAGCGAAAGCGUGGGGAGCGAACAGG
RNAcentral lists this ribosomal RNA (253 nucleotides) under uncultured bacterium. RNAcentral describes it as "partial 16S ribosomal RNA". It matches the Rfam family "Bacterial small subunit ribosomal RNA", at positions 524 to 776 of the family's 1533-position model. The record is from RNAcentral.